UGAACGCUGGCGGCGUGCCUAACACAUGCAAGUCGAACGGAGUAUCGCUGAUGAAGCUUCGGCAGAAUCUUGAAUAACUAGUGGCGGACGGGUGAGUAACGCGUGGGUAACCUGCCUCAUACAGGGGGAUAGCAGUUGGAACGACUGAUAACACCGCAUAAGCGCACAGUGUCGCAUGACACAGUGUGAAAAUAUUUAUAGGUAUGAGAUGGACCCGCGUCUGAUUAGCUAGUUGGUGAGGUAACGGCCCACCAAGGCGACGAUCAGUAGCCGGCCUGAGAGGGCGGACGGCCACAUUGGGACUGAGACACGGCCCAAACUCCUACGGGAGGCAGCAGUGGGGGAUAUUGCACAAUGGGCGAAAGCCUGAUGCAGCGACGCCCGCGUGAGUGAAGAAGUAUUUCGGUAUGUAAAGCUCUAUCAGCAGGGAAGAAAGACCUCGUAAGAGGGGAUGACGGUACCUGAGUAAGAAGCCCCGGCUAACUACGUGCCAGCCGCGGC
This 501-nucleotide ribosomal RNA is filed under the name uncultured bacterium. RNAcentral describes it as "bacterial SSU rRNA". It matches the Rfam family "Bacterial small subunit ribosomal RNA", at positions 30 to 518 of the family's 1533-position model. The record is from RNAcentral.